AAAUUGAAGAGUUUGAUCAUGGCUCAGAUUGAACGCUGGCGGCAGGCCUAACACAUGCAAGUCGAACGGUAACAGGAAGCAGCUUGCUGCUUCGCUGACGAGUGGCGGACGGGUGAGUAAUGUCUGGGAAACUGCCUGAUGGAGGGGGAUAACUACUGGAAACGGUGGCUAAUACCGCAUAACGUCGCAGGACCAAAGAGGGGGACCUUCGGGCCUCUUGCCAUCAGAUGUGCCCAGAUGGGAUUAGCUUGUUGGUGAGGUAACGGCUCACCAAGGCGACGAUCCCUAGCUGGUCUGAGAGGAUGACCAGCCACACUGGAACUGAGACACGGUCCAGACUCCUACGGGAGGCAGCAGUGGGGAAUAUUGCACAAUGGGCGCAAGCCUGAUGCAGCCAUGCCGCGUGUAUGAAGAAGGCCUUCGGGUUGUAAAGUACUUUCAGCGGGGAGGAAGGUGUUGUGGUUAAUAACCACAGCAAUUGACGUUACCCGCAGAAGAAGCACCGGCUAAC
Molecule: ribosomal RNA, 511 nt
Filed under: Salmonella enterica
Lineage: Bacteria; Pseudomonadati; Pseudomonadota; Gammaproteobacteria; Enterobacterales; Enterobacteriaceae
Description: bacterial SSU rRNA
Rfam family: Bacterial small subunit ribosomal RNA
Source: RNAcentral